AUGUGUAUCUUUACACACUUCCAUUCAGGGUCGCUUGAUGUGCAACGACUCAAUUAUGGGGUGAUCACACUGCUCCCUAAGACAUCUGGAGCAGACCACAUUCAGCAAUUCCAUCCAAUAUGCCUGCUUAGAUGCCCUUACAAAUUGAUCACCAAGGCACUAGAUAGGAUGGUGGAGAAGUAUGCUGAUAAGUUGAUUAGUUUGUCAUAAAAUGUGUUUGUCCAAGGGAGGAACAUCAUGGAUGGAAUCAUGUCUCUCCAUGAACUCCUUAACUAUACACAUGUCAAGAAGAAAGUUGGGGUGGUGUUAAAGCUAGAUUUUGAAAAAGCUUACGAUAAGGUUGAUUGGGAAUUCCUUUUGGAAUGUCAUAAACUCAGAGGGUUUAAUGAUGUUUGGUGUGGACGAGUGAAGCAAAUCAUGUACAAUGGUAUAGUGAGUAUUAAACUUAACAACAUUGUGGGACCCUACUUUCAAAGCCAAGGGGUGAGUCAAGGGGACCCGCAUUCACCUUUUUUAUUCAAUCUGGCUGCUGACUGUUUGAACAAGAUGAUUAAAAAAGCUCAACAAAAUGGCAUGCUGACUGGACUUGCUUCGGAUCUUAUUCUGAAUGGUGUGGUUGUUCUACAAUAUGUAGAUGACACUAUAAUUUGCCUCGAGCAUGAUCUAGAGAAAGCUAUGAAUCUUAAAAUUCUAUUGUAUAUGUUGGAGUUGAUGUCAGGCCUGAAAGUCAAUUUUCAGAAAAGUGAGAUUCUGACUAUUGGGGGGAAUGUUGAGAUAGACAAGAAGUGCGCUGAGCUUUUUAACUGUGAGAUUAGACAUUUUCCAAUCAAGUAUCUGGGGAUGCCUGUUAGCUUUUCCACUCUUAAAGAUACCGUGUGGGAAUUUAUAGUGGACAAAUAUAUGAAAAAAUGGGUCCUGGAUUGGGAAUGUGGCCUCUAUAGGUGGCGGACUCACCCUACUCACUUCUAUGUUGACACAGAUGUCCCUAUACCAUAUGUCGAUGUGGCUAAGGAGCAAAACCUUUAUUGA
Molecule: ribosomal RNA, 1029 nt
Filed under: Triticum aestivum (bread wheat)
Lineage: Eukaryota; Viridiplantae; Streptophyta; Magnoliopsida; Poales; Poaceae
Description: partial small subunit ribosomal RNA
Source: RNAcentral